Molecule: ribosomal RNA, 468 nt
Filed under: uncultured bacterium
Lineage: Bacteria
Description: partial 16S ribosomal RNA
Rfam family: Bacterial small subunit ribosomal RNA
Source: RNAcentral
GACGAACGCUGGCGGCGUGCUUAACACAUGCAAGUCGAACGGAAAGGCCCUGCUUUUGUGGGGUGCUCGAGUGGCGAACGGGUGAGUAACACGUGAGUAACCUGCCCUUGACUUUGGUAUAACUUCAGGAAACUGGGGCUAAUACCGGAUAUGAGCUCCUGCUGCAUGGUGUUGGUUGGAAAGUUUCGGCGGUUGGGGAUGGACUCGCGGCUUAUCAGCUUGUUGGUGGGGUAGUGGCUUACCAAGGCUUUGACGGGUAGCCGGCAUGAGAGGGUGAACGGGGAGAUGGGGACUGAGAUAGGGACCAGAAUGCAACGGGAGGCAGCAGUGGGGAAUAGUGCACAAUGGGAGGAAGCCUGAGGCAGCAACGCCGGGUGAGGGAUGACGGCCUUCGGGUUGUAAACAGAUUUCGACUGAGACGAAGCGUGAGUGACGGUAAUGGGUAAAGAAGCAACGGCUAACUACGUG